GAUUCUGGCUCAGGAUGAACGCUAGCGACAGGCCUAACACAUGCAAGUCGAGGGGCAGCGGGAUGAAGCUGCUUAAUGCCGGCGACCGGCGCACGGGUGCGUAACAGGUGUGCAAUCUGUCCAUAGUCGGGGGAUAGCCCAGCGAAAGCUGAAUUAACACUCCAUGUGAAUCGAAGCCGCAUGACUUUGAUUUGAAACGCAAGGACUAUGGGUGAGCACGCUUCUGAUUAGGUAGUUGGUGGGGUAACGGCCCACCAAGCCAACGAUCAGUAGGGUUCUGAGAGGAAGGUCCCCCACAUUGGAACUGAGACACGGUCCAAACUCCUACGGGAGGCAGCAGUGAGGAAUAUUGGUCAAUGGGCGAGAGCCUGAACCAGCCAAGUCGCGUAGAAGGAUGAAGGUUCUAUGGAUUGUAAACUUCUUUUGUCCGAGGGUAAAAAAGGCUACGUGUAGCUUCUUGCAAGUAUCGGACGAAUAAGCAUCGGCUAACUCCGUGCCAGCAGCCGC
RNAcentral lists this ribosomal RNA (507 nucleotides) under uncultured bacterium. RNAcentral's name for it is "bacterial SSU rRNA". It matches the Rfam family "Bacterial small subunit ribosomal RNA", at positions 15 to 518 of the family's 1533-position model. The record is from RNAcentral.